UACGUAGGGGCCAAGCGUUGUCCGGAUUUAUUGGGCGUAAAGAGCUCGUAGGCGGUUCGGCAAGUCAGCUGUGAAAUCUCCACGCUCAACGUGGAGGGGUCAGCUGAUACUGCUGUGACUCGAGUCCGGUAGGGGAGUGUGGAAUUCCUGGUGUAGUGGUGAAAUGCGUAGAGAUCAGGAGGAACACCGGUGGCGAAGGCGGCCUACUGGGCUGUCUCUGACGCUGAGGCGCGAAAGCUCGGGGAGCGAACGGG
This 254-nucleotide ribosomal RNA is filed under the name uncultured bacterium. Its description in RNAcentral is "partial 16S ribosomal RNA". It matches the Rfam family "Bacterial small subunit ribosomal RNA", at positions 524 to 776 of the family's 1533-position model. The record is from RNAcentral.